RNAcentral lists this ribosomal RNA (220 nucleotides) under uncultured bacterium. RNAcentral's name for it is "partial 16S ribosomal RNA". It matches the Rfam family "Bacterial small subunit ribosomal RNA", at positions 524 to 740 of the family's 1533-position model. The record is from RNAcentral.
UACGUAGGAGGCGAGCGUUUGUCCGGAGUACUGGCGUAAAGCGCACGCAGGCUGGUCAGAUCAGUCUGGAAGUGACAGUCGUCGGCCUUAACCGACGAAGUGUUCUGGAAACUGUCUGACUUGAGGGCUUCAGAGGGACACGGAAUUCCGGGUGGAGUGGUGAAAUAGCGUAGAUAUCCGGAGGAACACCAAUGGCGAAGGCAGUGUCCUGGGAAGUACC